RNAcentral lists this ribosomal RNA (253 nucleotides) under uncultured bacterium. RNAcentral describes it as "partial 16S ribosomal RNA". It matches the Rfam family "Bacterial small subunit ribosomal RNA", at positions 524 to 776 of the family's 1533-position model. The record is from RNAcentral.
UACGGAGGAUCCGAGCGUUAUCCGGAUUUAUUGGGUUUAAAGGGUGCGUAGGCGAACUAGUAAGUCAGUGGUGAAAUCCUGCAGCUUAACUGUAGAAUUGCCGUUGAUACUGUUAGUCUUGAGUACAUUUGAGGUAGGCGGAAUGUGGUGUGUAGCGGUGAAAUGCAUAGAUAUACCACAGAACACCGAUUGCGAAGGCAGCUUACUAAACUGUAACUGACGCUGAGGCACGAAAGCGUGGGUAUCAAACAGG